AUUGAACGCUGGCGGCAUGCCUAACACAUGCAAGUCGAACGGUAACGCACAACUUGCUGGCUCGUACUGGGGCCAAGGGGCGUACUACACGGGAAUACCCCGGACUUUACUCUUUCAUGAGGCAGAACGUCUGGGAAUAUUCCCUAAUACCGCCGACUACCGCCGGGUGAAAGCAGGGCAUCUUCAGCCCUUGCGGGUGGACUUGAGCCGAUGUCGUAUUUGGUAGUUGGGGGGGUAAAGGCCCACCACGGCGACUAGCCGGAGCUGGUGUGAGAGGAUGAUAAGCCACACUGGAAAGUAGACACGGUCCAGACUCCUAAGGGAGGCAGCAGUGGGGAAUAUUGGACAAAGGGCGCAAGCCUGAUCCAGCCAUACCGAGUGGGUGAAGAAGGCCUUCGGGUUGUAAAGUCCUUUUGUUGGGAAAGAAAAGCAUUCGGUUAAUACAGAGCGGUAAUGACGGUACCGGAAGAAUAAGCACCGGCUAACUACGUG
This 492-nucleotide ribosomal RNA is filed under the name uncultured bacterium. RNAcentral describes it as "partial 16S ribosomal RNA". It matches the Rfam family "Bacterial small subunit ribosomal RNA", at positions 30 to 507 of the family's 1533-position model. The record is from RNAcentral.